UACGUAGGGUGCAAGCGUUAAUCGGAAUUACUGGGCGUAAAGCGUGCGCAGGCGGCUUUGCAAGACAGAUGUGAAAUCCCCGGGUUUAACCUGGGAACUGCAUUUGUGACUGCAUGGCUAGAGUGCGGCAGAGGGGGAUGGAAUUCCGCGUGUAGCAGUGAAAUGCGUAGAUAUGCGGAGGAACACCGAUGGCGAAGGCAAUCCCCUGGGCCUGCACUGACGCUCAUGCACGAAAGCGUGGGGAGCAAACAGG
RNAcentral lists this ribosomal RNA (253 nucleotides) under uncultured bacterium. RNAcentral describes it as "partial 16S ribosomal RNA". It matches the Rfam family "Bacterial small subunit ribosomal RNA", at positions 524 to 776 of the family's 1533-position model. The record is from RNAcentral.